CCAGAGCCCGAUAGCCCCCAAGUAGAGUGAUCGAAGAAUGAAAAGUACUUUGAAAAGAGGGUUAAAUAGCCCGUGAAAUUGUUGAAAGGGAAGCGUUUAUGCCCAGACCCGGGCCUGGCGGAUCAUCCGGUGUUCCUCACCGGUGCACUUCGCCUGGCCUAGGCCAGCAUCGAUUUCCCCCGGGGGACAAAGGCCGCGGGAACGUAGCUCCCCUAGGGGAGUGUUAUAGCCCUAGGCGCAAUGCCCUGGCGGGGAUCGAGGUUCGCGCUCCGGCAAGGAUGCUGGCGUAAUGGUCAUCAACGACCCGUCUUGAAACACGGACCAAGGAGUCGAACAUCUAUGCGAGUGUUUGGGUGUGAAAACCCUCACGCGGAAUGAAGGUGAAUGGAGGUGAGAGCCCCUCGGGGGCGCAUCAUCGACCGAUCCUGAUGUCUUCGGAUGGAUUUGAGUAGGAGCAUAGCUGUUCGGACCCGAAAGAUGGUGAACUAUGCGUGGGUAGGGUGAAGCCAGAGGAAACUCUGGUGGAGGCUCGCAGCGGUUCUGACGUGCAAAUCGAUCGUCAAAUCAUGCGGCAUGGGGGCGAAAGACUAUCGAAC
Molecule: ribosomal RNA, 596 nt
Filed under: Halodiatrype avicenniae
Lineage: Eukaryota; Fungi; Ascomycota; Sordariomycetes; Xylariales; Diatrypaceae
Description: partial large subunit ribosomal RNA
Rfam family: Eukaryotic large subunit ribosomal RNA
Source: RNAcentral